This 459-nucleotide ribosomal RNA is filed under the name uncultured bacterium. RNAcentral describes it as "partial 16S ribosomal RNA". It matches the Rfam family "Bacterial small subunit ribosomal RNA", at positions 338 to 795 of the family's 1533-position model. The record is from RNAcentral.
CCUACGGGAGGCAGCAGUGAGGAAUAUUGGUCAAUGGCCGAGAGGCUGAACCAGCCAAGUCGCGUGAGGGAAGACGGCCCUACGGGUUGUAAACCUCUUUUGUAGGGGAGAAAAGCGAGUCACGUGUGACUCAUUGCGAGUACCCGAAGAAAAAGCAUCGGCUAACUCCGUGCCAGCAGCCGCGGUAAUACGGAGGAUGCGAGGGUUAUCCGGUUUUAUUGGGUUUAAAGGGUUAGGAGGGGGAGGUGCAAGUCAGCGGUCAAAUUGCGGGGCUCAACCCCGUACUGCUGUUGAAACUGCAUGCCUUGAGUGCGCGAGAAGUAUGAGGAAUGCGUGGUGUAGCGGUGAAAUGCAUAGAGAUCACGCAGAACUCCGAUUGCGAAGGCAGCAUACCGGCGCGCAACUGACGUUCAUGCACGAAAGCGUGGGUAUCGAACAGGAUUAGAUACCCCUGUAGUC